GACGAACGCUGGCGGCGUGCUUAACACAUGCAAGUCGAACGAUGAAGAAGAGAAACGCGAACUUCGGUUCAAAUUUCACUUCGGAUUAGUGGCAGACGGGUGAGUAACGCGUGAGCAACCUACCUCUUACAAAGGGAUAGCCUCGGGAAACCGUGAUUAAUACCAUAUGACACAUUCAUAAGGCAUCUUAAGAAUGUUAAAGCUACGGCGGUAAGAGAUGGGCUCGCGUCCCAUUAGCUAGUUGGUGGGGUAACGGCCCACCAAGGCGACGAUGGGUAACCGGCCUGAGAGGGUGAACGGUCACAUUGGAACUGAGACACGGUCCAAACUCCUACGGGAGGCAGCAGUGGGGAAUAUUGCACAAUGGAGGGAACUCUGAUGCAGCGACGCCGCGUGAGCGAUGAAGGAAUUCGUUUCGUAAAGCUCUGUUCUAUGGGAAGAAAAGGACUGUACCAUAGGAGAAAGCCCCGGCUAAAUACGUG
This 482-nucleotide ribosomal RNA is filed under the name uncultured bacterium. RNAcentral's name for it is "partial 16S ribosomal RNA". It matches the Rfam family "Bacterial small subunit ribosomal RNA", at positions 28 to 507 of the family's 1533-position model. The record is from RNAcentral.